RNAcentral lists this ribosomal RNA (443 nucleotides) under uncultured bacterium. RNAcentral describes it as "partial 16S ribosomal RNA". It matches the Rfam family "Bacterial small subunit ribosomal RNA", at positions 338 to 795 of the family's 1533-position model. The record is from RNAcentral.
CCUACGGGAGGCAGCAGUGGGGAAUAUUGGGCAAUGGGCGCAAGCCUGACCCAGCAACGCCGCGUGAAGGAAGAAGGCUUUCGGGUUGUAAACUUCUUUUCUCAGGGACGAAGCAAGUGACGGUACCUGAGGAAUAAGCCACGGCUAACUACGUGCCAGCAGCCGCGGUAAUACGUCGGUGGCAAGCGUUCUCCGGAUUUACUGGGUGUAAAGGGCGUGUAGGCGGGGACGCAAGUCAGAUGUGAAAACCAUGGGCUCAACCUGUAGCCUACAUUUGAAACUGUGUUUCUUGAGUACUGGAGAGGCAGACGGAAUUCCUAGUGUAGCGGUGAAAUGCGUAGAUAUUAGGAGGAACACCAGUGGCGAAGGCGGUCUGCUGAACAGCAACUGACGCUGAGGCGCGAAAGCGUGGGGAGCAAACAGGAUUAGAUACCCUAGUAGUC